Molecule: non-coding RNA, 252 nt
Organism: Vicia faba (fava bean)
Lineage: Eukaryota; Viridiplantae; Streptophyta; Magnoliopsida; Fabales; Fabaceae
Source: the annotation of a GenBank genome assembly
AUGACUCUCCGGUAUACCCAUCUCAAUUCCGACUACUCCCUCUAUUCCGCAAGCCUAACUAGACAUCCCAGUCGGACUCCCUCUGCCUCUGUCUCCCUUCCGGCUCCACCAACCAUCCUCCUUUCCGCGAGCCCUUCAUCUUCCACCAUUCUUCCCCUUUUCUUUGGAUUCUUAUCCGAUACCGUGAGCUUUAUCCAUUACCCUUGCGCUUUAUCUGAUUCCUCUCAUGAUCCAUACUUUCUUCGUCCGUGA